AUCGCUUCUCAGCCUUUUGGCUAAGAUCAAGUGUAGUAUAGCAGACAUCCCUGCCUAGUACUAGGGGGCUAGCGGGCUAUGUGUGGCACAUGCUUCUUGCUUUCCAUAUUCAGCUAUAUUUUUUUAUAUCAGGAGUCAGACCGAAGCCCUAUGUGACUCAAAUGGGCAUGUCAGAUGGUGGACUGGGCCAGUAUAGCCCCUCCCUCA
Small nuclear RNA from Heterocephalus glaber (naked mole-rat), 207 nucleotides. Its record names the gene U2. It matches the Rfam family "U2 spliceosomal RNA". Rfam says of the family: U2 is a small nuclear RNA (snRNA) component of the spliceosome (involved in pre-mRNA splicing). Complementary binding between U2 snRNA (in an area lying towards the 5' end but 3' to hairpin I) and the branchpoint sequence (BPS) of the intron results the bulging out of an unpaired adenosine, on the BPS, which initiates a nucleophilic attack at the intronic 5' splice site, thus starting the first of two transesterification reactions that mediate splicing. The record is from Ensembl. NCBI's taxonomy places the organism in Eukaryota, Metazoa, Chordata, Mammalia, Rodentia, Bathyergidae.